This 460-nucleotide ribosomal RNA is filed under the name uncultured bacterium. RNAcentral's name for it is "partial 16S ribosomal RNA". It matches the Rfam family "Bacterial small subunit ribosomal RNA", at positions 338 to 795 of the family's 1533-position model. The record is from RNAcentral.
CCUACGGGAGGCAGCAGUGAGGAAUAUUGGUCAAUGGACGAGAGUCUGAACCAGCCAAGUAGCGUGAAGGAUGACUGCCCUAUGGGUUGUAAACUUCUUUUAUAUGGGAAUAAAAUGUUCCACGUGUGGGAGUUUGUAUGUACCAUAUGAAUAAGGAUCGGCUAACUCCGUGCCAGCAGCCGCGGUAAUACGGAGGAUCCGAGCGUUAUCCGGAUUUAUUGGGUUUAAAGGGAGCGUAGGUGGAUUGUUAAGUCAGUUGUGAAAGUUUGCGGCUCAACCGUAAAAUUGCAGUUGAAACUGGCAGUCUUGAGUACGGUAGAGGGGGGCGGAAUUCGUGGUGUAGCGGUGAAAUGCUUAGAUAACACGAAGAACUCCGAUUGCGGAGGCAGCUCACUGGACUGCAACUGACACUGAGGGUCGAAAGUGUGGGUAUCAAACAGGAUUAGAUACCCGGGUAGUC